AUUGAACGCUGGCGGCAUGCCUUACACAUGCAAGUCGAACGGCAGCACGGGAGCUUGCUCCUGGUGGCGAGUGGCGAACGGGUGAGUAAUGCAUCGGAACGUGCCAUUGAGUGGGGGAUAACGUAGCGAAAGUUACGCUAAUACCGCAUAUUCUGUGAGCAGGAAAGCAGGGGACCGCAAGGCCUUGCGCUCUUUGAGCGGCCGAUGUCAGAUUAGCUAGUUGGUGAGGUAAAGGCUUACCAAGGCGACGAUCUGUAGCGGGUCUGAGAGGAUGAUCCGCCACACUGGAACUGAGACACGGUCCAGACUCCUACGGAGGCAGCAGUGGGGAAUUUUGGACAAUGGGCGCAAGCCUGAUCCAGCCAUGCCGCGUGAGUGAAGAAGGCCUCGGUU
RNAcentral lists this ribosomal RNA (393 nucleotides) under uncultured bacterium. RNAcentral describes it as "bacterial SSU rRNA". It matches the Rfam family "Bacterial small subunit ribosomal RNA", at positions 30 to 424 of the family's 1533-position model. The record is from RNAcentral.